This 74-nucleotide transfer RNA is filed under the name Microbacterium aerolatum. Its description in RNAcentral is "tRNA-Met". Lineage: Bacteria; Bacillati; Actinomycetota; Actinomycetes; Micrococcales; Microbacteriaceae. The record is from RNAcentral.
CGCGGCGAUCCGGGUGGCCCCGGGCUUCAGCUCAUACCUGACGGUGUUGCGGGUUCGACUCCCGCCGUCGCGUC